Long non-coding RNA from Ochotona curzoniae (black-lipped pika), 240 nucleotides. RefSeq lists it as uncharacterized. Lineage: Eukaryota; Metazoa; Chordata; Mammalia; Lagomorpha; Ochotonidae. The transcript is spliced from 2 exons. The record is from RefSeq and is a predicted model, not a curated record.
CCCAGUAGUCUUCAUACAGCAAGCACUGGGCAUUCUCCCACCACUUCUCCCUGAAAUUGAACCACAGAAAGAAAGCAGGAAUGAGAGAGGGUAUUUCCCACUACACUCCCUGUCCCCAUCUACGCUCCCAAUGCCCUCUGAGUGGACUUGCCUUCGGGAAGCUCCAGGUGGGGAAGCAGAAGGGUUUGGUAUUUCAGCAUUGUUACCUGUAGCCUAAAUGUCCUUCAUAGGACACAACAA